RNAcentral lists this ribosomal RNA (390 nucleotides) under uncultured Actinomycetes bacterium. RNAcentral's name for it is "bacterial SSU rRNA". It matches the Rfam family "Bacterial small subunit ribosomal RNA", at positions 269 to 671 of the family's 1533-position model. The record is from RNAcentral. Lineage: Bacteria; Bacillati; Actinomycetota; Actinomycetes.
CAAGGCGACGACGGGUAGCCGGCCUGAGAGGGCGACCGGCCACACUGGGACUGAGACACGGCCCAGACUCCUACGGGAGGCAGCAGUGGGGAAUAUUGGGCAAUGGANGAAACUCUGACCCAGCGACGCCGCGUGAGGGAUGAAGGCCUUCGGGUUGUAAACCUCUUUCAGUAGGGAAGAAGCGAAAGUGACGGUACCUACAGAAGAAGCACCGGCUAACUAUGUGCCAGCAGCCGCGGUAAUACAUAGGGUGCAAGCGUUGUCCGGAAUUAUUGGGCGUAAAGAGCUCGUAGGUGGUUCGAUACGUCGGAUGUGAAAAUCAGGGGCUCAACCCCUGACCUGCAUCCGAUACGGUCGAGCUAGAGUUUGGUAGGGGAGACUGGAAUUCCU